This 497-nucleotide ribosomal RNA is filed under the name uncultured bacterium. RNAcentral describes it as "partial 16S ribosomal RNA". It matches the Rfam family "Bacterial small subunit ribosomal RNA", at positions 28 to 507 of the family's 1533-position model. The record is from RNAcentral.
GAUGAACGCUGGCGGCGUGCCUAAUACAUGCAUGUCGAGCGAACAGACGAGGAGCUUGCUCCUCUGACGUUAGCGGCGGACGGGUGAGUAACACGUGGAUAACCUACCUAUAAGACUGGGAUAACUUCGGGAAACCGGAGCUAAUACCGGAUAAUAUAUUGAACCGCAUGGUUCAAUAGUGAAAGACGGUUUUGCUGUCACUUAUAGAUGGAUCCGCGCCGCAUUAGCUAGUUGGUAAGGUAACGGCUUACCAAGGCAACGAUGCGUAGCCGACCUGAGAGGGUGAUCGGCCACACUGGAACUGAGACACGGUCCAGACUCCUACGGGAGGCAGCAGUAGGGAAUCCUCCGCAAUGGGCGAAAGCCUGACGGAGCAACGCCGCGUGAGUGAUGAAGGUCUUCGGAUCGUAAAACUCUGUUAUUAGGGAAGAACAAAUGUGUAAGUAACUAUGCACGUCUUGACGGUACCUAAUCAGAAAGCCACGGCUAACUACGUG